UGUUCCACGCGCACAGCCAGGUCCCGCGUCCACGACGCCAGGGGCUUUUGUGAGGGAUAUGCCUGCGAAAGGAGGCGGGGUUGGCUUGCUCCAUGCUCCCUGGGCAGCAUCAGCUCCUGCUCUGCAACUCCAGAGCGGAGGCACAUGAGCGUCAAAGAUACAAUUGAAGAUCUCUUCCAGGCUUGUUGACAUGACAAUGAGGCCCUGGAUGCCCUUCUCCAGGAGGACCACGUUGAGCGGGGACGGGUCGAGAGCCAGCAGCUUCCGGGUGCCCUCGUAAUCGAUCAUCUCGGGGAUCUUCUGCUUCACAUCCGCAGCCAGCUCGAGGACCUAGGAAGGCAGCGGCUGGGGCUGGCCUGCCCUUCAGCCUUCCCUCGCCCCGGGACGCCCUCUGUCCCUACCUUCUCUUCUCGGCUCUGGCCCCCAAUCCUGGUGGGUGUGAUUUGGGGUUGCAGGGAAAGCAGAGUCUCAAAGAGGGUCCGGGCCUCAGUGAUCUGCGAGGCCACAUCAGCAUUGGGGUGUUGGCCAAAGGCCUCAGGGGGGUCCAUGCUGGGCAGCAUGCUGAUGUAUUCUUUGUAAGAGGCCAAGGCCCCGUCCUUCGGGAUGAAGUAAGUCUCCAGUACAGACAACCUGGGCAGCCACAGUGGAGAAUCACCACGUGGCAGGACCUGAGCUUCCACACCAAACCAAGACCUCAGGCUCCAUGUGUUCCCAGUUGCGUGACUGGCGGCUCCAGCUCCUGCUGCGCCUCCCAACUCCACAAACUCUGUCUCCUCCCGACCUCCGGGUCUCCGCACACCCACACACAACCCUGGCUCCAGGUCUGAGCAUCUCCUUUCAGCCCUCACCGGUAGUUGGGGGUUGAGAGACUCAGGUCGCAGAAGUAAUCAUUGAUGUAGGUGGUGAGCAGGCGCCUGUCCCAGUCAUCCGUGACGUGGCCGCCGUAGUUGACGCCGGCGAUGAGGGCGAUGGCGAGGCCUCUCCCCAUGUCCUGGCACCCAGUACCCCACAAAGGAGCCUCGGGGCAAGGAGGACGAGGAGAGAGGGCCGACGAGGGAAGCGCGAACCUCAAAGUCGGAGUCGUUGAAGCCGUAGACAAUAUUCCAGCCGAGCUGCAGGAACUUCUUGCGCUCCAGCAAUAUGGAGUGGAAGAAGCAGAGCGCGAACAGCAGCUUCUUGUACUUGGCGGGCUUGGAGCAGUGCGUGAACUGGACCUCCGUCAUCAGCUGGUACAGGCGAGUCAUGUUGGCCUUCAGACCCUGAGGGCGGGGAAGCAAGGGCUGCCUGUGACGGUGGGCGGGGUGGAGGGCGCUCACAGUGGGGCGGGGCUGCCCCCACUGAGUCCUCCCUCCCCCACCAGUGCUGCACACUGAGGCCCAAUCACUCUGCCCCUCCCUCCCCGUUCUGGGGACAAGGUCUCAUCCUGCAGCUCUGGCUGGCCUGGGAAGGCCAGGUAGAGCAGGUGGGCCUGGAGCUCGGGUAUCUCCCUGCCUUCCUGAUAGUGCUAGGACUACAGGUGUGUACCACAGCGGCCGGCCCUUCCUCUGCGCUUGAUUGUCUCAGUCAUGACACCCCUGAUGAAGGAACCAGUUCAGUUUGCAAGUGCCAGAACAUAUGGAUAAAGACAGAAGUGUACACCUGCAAUUAGCUUUUCAUUGUUAUUUGUUGUGUUUUACGUCAAUGCUGGGGGUUGAGGCUCAAAGCCUUGUUCAUUCCAGGAAAAUAUUCUACCACUGAGCUAUACUGCCAGUCUA
This is a long non-coding RNA of Meriones unguiculatus (Mongolian gerbil), 1754 nucleotides long. RefSeq lists it as uncharacterized. The transcript has 4 exons. NCBI's taxonomy places the organism in Eukaryota, Metazoa, Chordata, Mammalia, Rodentia, Muridae. The record is from RefSeq and is a predicted model, not a curated record.